Molecule: ribosomal RNA, 253 nt
Filed under: uncultured bacterium
Lineage: Bacteria
Description: partial 16S ribosomal RNA
Rfam family: Bacterial small subunit ribosomal RNA
Source: RNAcentral
UACGUAGGGUCCAAGCGUUAAUCGGAAUUACUGGGCGUAAAGCGUGCGCAGGCGGUUAUGUAAGACAGAUGUGAAAUCCCCGGGCUCAACCUGGGAACUGCAUUUGUGACUGCAUGGCUAGAGUGUGGCAGAGGGGGGUAGAAUUCCACGUGUAGCAGUGAAAUGCGUAGAUAUGUGGAGGAAUACCGAUGGCGAAGGCAGCCCCCUGGGCCAAUACUGACGCUCAUGCACGAAAGCGUGGGGAGCAAACAGG